RNAcentral lists this long non-coding RNA (355 nucleotides) under Manihot esculenta (cassava). RNAcentral describes it as "long non-coding RNA (MESC_LNC002536)". The record is from RNAcentral. Lineage: Eukaryota; Viridiplantae; Streptophyta; Magnoliopsida; Malpighiales; Euphorbiaceae.
UUCAUGCUCGAUGGAGAAUGGGGGGAUUGAUUCAUUCAUGCUUGAGGUUUCGGUGGGAGGCAUUGGGUUCAUGGAUUGGCCUUCUGGGUUUGUGAGAGAGGAGGCAAGGUUUACACAGUAGUAAGAUGGGCAAUUCCGAAUUUUAAUUAAAUAUUUUAUUUGUAUUAUUUGUUUAUUUUGACCAAGCAUUAAUUUAUAAAAACUUUUAACGGGAUGAUCAUGUUGCUGAAGGACUUAAAUUUUAGAAACCUAAUUGUUUCAUAUAAUAAGAGAAUUUAAGUACUUAAAUUUUAGAAACCUAAUUGUUUCAUAUAAUAAGAGAAUUUAAGUGUGGUUUUUUUUAUAAACAUCAGGA